RNAcentral lists this ribosomal RNA (462 nucleotides) under uncultured bacterium. Its description in RNAcentral is "partial 16S ribosomal RNA". It matches the Rfam family "Bacterial small subunit ribosomal RNA", at positions 28 to 507 of the family's 1533-position model. The record is from RNAcentral.
GACGAACGCUGGCGGCGUGCUUAACACAUGCAAGUCGAGCGGAAAGGCCCUUCGGGGUACUCGAGCGGCGAACGGGUGAGUAACACGUGAGUAACCUGCCCCAGACUUUGGGAUAACCCUCGGAAACGGGGGCUAAUACCGGAUACGACACAGCUUCGCCUGGGGUCUGUGUGGAAAGUUUUUCGGUUUGGGAUGGGCUCGCGGCCUACCAUCUUGUUGGUGGGGUGAGGGUCUACCAAGGCGACGACGGGUAGCCGGCCUGAGAGGGCGACCGGCCACACUGGGACUGAGACAGGGCCCAGACUCCUACGGGAGACAGCAGUGGCGAAUAUUGCACAAUGGGCGGAAGCCUGAUGCAGCGACGCCGCGUGAGGGAUGACGGCCUUCGGGUUGUAAACCGCUUUCGGCAGGGACGAAGCGUAAGUGACGGUACCUGCAGAAGAAGCGCCGGCCAACUACGUG